GAUGAACGCUAGCGGCAGGCCUAACACAUGCAAGUCGAGGGGCAGCACAGGUAGCAAUACUGGGUGGCGACCGGCGGAUGGGUGCGUAACGCGUAUGCAACCUACCAUUGAUUGGGGCAUAGCCCGAAGAAAUUCGGAUUAAUACUCCAUAAUAUUCAUCAAAGGCAUCUUUUAUGAAUUAAAGCUUUUGCGAUCAAUGAUGGGCAUGCGUGACAUUAGUUAGUUGGUGAGGUAACGGCUCACCAAAACGAUGAUGUCUAGGGGUUCUGAGAGGAUUAUCCCCCACACUGGUACUGAGACACGGACCAGACUCCUACGGGAGGCAGCAGUGAGGAAUAUUGGUCAAUGGACGCAAGUCUGAACCAGCCAUGCCGCGUGCAGGAUGACGGCCCUAUGGGGUUGUAAACUGCUUUUCCACGGGAAGAACCCUCCGACGUGUCGGAGACUGACGGUACCGUGGGAAUAAGCAUCGGCUAACUCCGUG
RNAcentral lists this ribosomal RNA (484 nucleotides) under uncultured bacterium. RNAcentral's name for it is "bacterial SSU rRNA". It matches the Rfam family "Bacterial small subunit ribosomal RNA", at positions 28 to 507 of the family's 1533-position model. The record is from RNAcentral.